Molecule: non-coding RNA, 90 nt
Organism: Abortiporus biennis
Lineage: Eukaryota; Fungi; Basidiomycota; Agaricomycetes; Polyporales; Podoscyphaceae
Source: the annotation of a GenBank genome assembly
GCCGCGUUGGCGUAGUGGUAGCGCGUCGCACUUGUAUCAACUCAUAGUUGGGGAAUGCGAAGGUCACUUGUUCAAUCCAGGUACGUGGCA